Molecule: long non-coding RNA, 1623 nt
Organism: Triticum dicoccoides
Lineage: Eukaryota; Viridiplantae; Streptophyta; Magnoliopsida; Poales; Poaceae
Exons: 6
Source: RefSeq, a predicted model, not a curated record
CUCCUCCUCUCCUGCCGCCGCCGCCUCCUCCUCUCCUUUCCUCGAUGUCGCCAGGGCCUCACCCUCACUGGCUGCGGUGAUGGCGGCGGGGCGGAGCUCUUGGUGGGCCAGAGUCCUCUCCCGCGUCCGUCCCGGUGGGGCUGGUGACCUGCAGCCAAAGGGUGACGACGGCUAGGAGAGAGAGAUGAGAGGGAGAGAGAAGACAAGGAGAGGAGGGAGAAAGAGUGAGGAAAGAGGAGUUGCAGGUGCGCUGGCUGGUGGGAGAGGGACAAAGGGUCAUUGACCGCCGGCGAGGUCGGGCGGGGCCUAGCGGUUGGUUCCAGAUCCAGCGCAGGUCGCCCCCAUGGGUGAGCAAUGGAGGAUGGGUCUUGAAGGUUGGUGGAUGAGCAGGGGAGGCUGACAGCUUGGGGGAGGACCAGAGGAGUAGCGAAUAGCAGCAACUCGUUUCUCAACUUCCUCCAGAAUCUUGCCGAGGAUUUUAUUGCAACAACAGGGUUCUGGCUAUUUUUGUUUUCAGAAUUUGUCAAAGAAAUUCUGCUUAGGCGCUUUGACCUGGCCAGUGAUCUCAUCUCACAUUGCGGUUUUGAAACUUGUCAAUGAAAUUCUGGUCAAUCAGUCUCCGCCAUCAUGUAACCCACCUGGUCGAGCCCCCACCCUGGCGGUUGCCUAAAGAGGAGGAGAGGUCGAGGAUGGCUCCCAUAGCAUGUCACAGGGUUAGCGAGGAGGAGGUUGUCCUCAAAGAGGUAGUGUCGUGUCUUGGCGGCCACCUCUCCUCAUCUCCUCCUAACAAGUGCAGGCUCGAUGGUUCAUGGCGUCCUCGCCGUCAUGGUUUGGCUACUGCUUGGCCUGACUCUACUUGUGCUGCUACUAUGUGCUACUAUAUGUUGUUGGUUGCCUCCUUAGUUGGUUAUUUGUGAAUCUGAAAACACUUUCUGAGAAGCAAGGAUUGAAGAGAAGGCUAUGCGCCAAUGAGAAGAGCUUCAUUUUCAGAUUUUUUUAAGAAUUGCUGAAGACCAUGUCAUAUGUUCAGUCACUAACAUUCCCUCUAUGGUGUACGCACUUGUUGUCCGUUUCAUUGGAGGGAGAGGAAGACUCUUUGUGAGAAUCAAGUAUUGAAGAGAAGGCUUAUGAGCCAAUGAGAAAACCUGAACUUUAGUUUUUUAUUUAAGAACCGAUGAAGGGCACGUCAUAUGUUCAGUUCCUUACAUUUUCUCUAUGAUGUAUGUACCUGCUGUUCAUGGCAUCCGAGGGAGAGGACAACAAGAGUAAGAAAGCCUUGCGGCGUGAAGGCAGUAGCACGCAGCACCAAGUCAAGCGCAUUGGCCUCGAUGGCAAGAGAUCAGUACCAUCAGGUUCGCUUGACUGCUUGCUAGCCCAACAUUGAACAGUACCCUUUAAAAAAGCUACAUGGUGGACGCUAUUUGUCAUAUUUUGACCGAUGAAUCUGUUUGAAUAGAUUAUACAGGAUUGAUGUAAUUAUCAGAUGAUUGCAGUCUACCCCAGGAUACAUAUUGGUUAUUUGGAUGCUUUCAUUUAAAGAUUUGCAAGAUCAAUGAGGAUUCGGGCUGCGGGGAGGGGUCUGGUGAUAGGAAACAUGGGUCCAAGAAGAAAUCAAAGAGCAUG